CCUACGGGAGGCAGCAGUAGGGAAUAUUGCUCAAUGGGGGAAACCCUGAAGCAGCAACGCCGCGUGGAGGAUGAAGGUUUUCGGAUUGUAAACUCCUUUUGUUAGAGAAGAUAAUGACGGUAUCUAACGAAUAAGCACCGGCUAACUCCGUGCCAGCAGCCGCGGUAAUACGGAGGGUGCAAGCGUUACUCGGAAUCACUGGGCGUAAAGGGCGCGUAGGCGGGAUAGCAAGUCAGAUGUGAAAUCCUAUGGCUUAACCAUAGAACUGCCUUUGAAACUGUUAUUCUAGAGUAUGGGAGAGGUAGGUGGAAUUCUUGGUGUAGGGGUAAAAUCCGUAGAGAUAAAGAGGAAUACUCAUUGCGAAGGCGACCUGCUAGAACAUAACUGACGCUGAUGCGCGAAAGCGUGGGGAGCAAACAGGAUUAGAUACCCGAGUAGUC
This 440-nucleotide ribosomal RNA is filed under the name uncultured bacterium. Its description in RNAcentral is "partial 16S ribosomal RNA". It matches the Rfam family "Bacterial small subunit ribosomal RNA", at positions 338 to 795 of the family's 1533-position model. The record is from RNAcentral.